Caenorhabditis elegans is the source of this 88-nucleotide non-coding RNA. The record is from Ensembl. NCBI's taxonomy places the organism in Eukaryota, Metazoa, Nematoda, Chromadorea, Rhabditida, Rhabditidae.
UAGGUUUAGGCUUAGGCUUAGGCUUAGGCUUAAGCUCAGGUUCAGACUUAGGCUUAGGAUUAGGAUUAGGCUUAGGCUUAGGCUUAGA